RNAcentral lists this ribosomal RNA (1441 nucleotides) under uncultured organism. RNAcentral describes it as "16S ribosomal RNA". It matches the Rfam family "Bacterial small subunit ribosomal RNA". The record is from RNAcentral.
CUGGCGGCGUGCUUAACACAUGCAAGUCGAACGGGAAGGCCCUGCUUUUGUGGGGUGCUCGAGUGGCGAACGGGUGAGUAACACGUGAGUAACCUGCCCUUGACUUUGGGAUAACUUCAGGAAACUGGGGCUAAUACCGGAUAGGAGCUCCUGCUGCAUGGUGGGGGUUGGAAAGUUUCGGCGGUUGGGGAUGGACUCGCGGCUUAUCAGCUUGUUGGUGGGGUAGUGGCUUACCAAGGCUUUGACGGGUAGCCGGCCUGAGAGGGUGACCGGCCACAUUGGGACUGAGAUACGGCCCAGACUCCUACGGGAGGCAGCAGUGGGGAAUAUUGCACAAUGGGCGGAAGCCUGAUGCAGCAACGCCGCGUGCGGGAUGACGGCCUUCGGGUUGUAAACCGCUUUCGCCUGUGACGAAGCGUGAGUGACGGUAAUGGGUAAAGAAGCACCGGCUAACUACGUGCCAGCAGCCGCGGUGAUACGUAGGGUGCGAGCGUUGUCCGGAUUUAUUGGGCGUAAAGGGCUCGUAGGUGGUUGAUCGCGUCGGAAGUGUAAUCUUGGGGCUUAACCCUGAGCGUGCUUUCGAUACGGGUUGACUUGAGGAAGGUAGGGGAGGAUGGAAUUCCUGGUGGAGCGGUGGAAUGCGCAGAUAUCAGGAGGAACACCAGUGGCGAAGGCGGUUCUCUGGGCCUUUCCUGACGCUGAGGAGCGAAAGCGUGGGGAGCGAACAGGCUUAGAUACCCCUGGUAGUCCACGCUGUAAACGGUGGGUACUAGGUGUGGGGUCCAUUCCACGGGUUCCGUGCCGUAGCUAACGCUUUAAGUACCCCGCCUGGGGAGUACGGCCGCAAGGCUAAAACUCAAAGGAAUUGACGGGGCCCCGCACAAGCGGCGGAGCAUGCGGAUUAAUUCGAUGCAACGCGUAGAACCUUACCUGGGUUUGACAUGGAUCGGGAGUGCUCAGAGAUGGGUGUGCCUCUUUUGGGGUCGGUUCACAGGUGGUGCAUGGCUGUCGUCAGCUCGUGUCGUGAGAUGUUGGGUUAAGUCCCGCAACGAGCGCAACCCUUGUUCACUGUUGCCUGCACGUUAUGGUGGGGACUCAGUGGAGACCGCCGGGGUCAACUCGGAGGAAGGUGGGGAUGACGUCAAGUCAUCAUGCCCCUUAUGUCCAGGGCUUCACGCAUGCUACAAUGGCUGGUACAGAGAGUGGCGAGCCUGUGAGGGUGAGCGAAUCUCGGAAAGCCGGUCUCAGUUCGGAUUGGGGUCUGCAACUCGACCUCAUGAAGUCGGAGUCGCUAGUAAUCGCAGAUCAGCAACGCUGCGGUGAAUACGUUCCCGGGGCUUGUACACACCGCCCGUCAAGUCAUGAAAGUUGGUAACACCCGAAGCCGGUGGCCUAACCGUUGUGGGGGAGCCGUCGAAGGUGGGACUGGUGAUUAGGACUA